Long non-coding RNA from Magnolia sinica, 1259 nucleotides. RefSeq lists it as uncharacterized. The transcript is spliced from 3 exons. The record is from RefSeq and is a predicted model, not a curated record. Lineage: Eukaryota; Viridiplantae; Streptophyta; Magnoliopsida; Magnoliales; Magnoliaceae.
AUUAAGCCCAGUUUUGUUGCAUGAAAGGUUAUGGAAUCACAUGAAAGGUUAUUUACUGGUUAGCUUUGUAUCCCUGCUAGAUCUGAAAAUGAAAAUAUGCCAUUUCCUCAUAAAAUCUGACAGAUUGCAGUGGGGGUGGUGGUUUGGAUAAGUCAAACGGAACUUGUUGCAGUAGACAUAAGGUGUUUGCUUUUGCUGGCUGGACACUUGCCAAGGUGUUCUACAACAGUCAGAUUCAAUAUUGCAGUACACAUGGUGUUUUAAUUAUGUGACACAGGCUUCAGAUAAUCUUCCCGAUUAUUGUUUGCCUUCUGCUCCGACUGAAAGUAUUGGCUAUGUGCUGCAGGUACGAUCUGCUACACUCGACACAUGGCUUCCAGAACAGGUUGCAUUUAUUCAAAGUAAGCAUGCAGAACACUUCUCAGGCUUACAUUUCUUAUGAGCUUUUUAAUUGCCGCAAAUCUGCCUACCAAUGAGGACAGCUUCUUAGCCUUCUUUAUAUUGAUUUUAAUAUUGUUCUUACUCUUUUGGUUGUAUGCAACAAUGGGAAAUGAGAAGUCAAAUAGCUACUGGGAAGCAGAACUGCCUCCAAAUUACGACAGAAAUCUUUUGGUGGGCUCUAGUUGAUGAAUAACUUAGAUCCAUCACACAUGCUGCGAAUCACCUUAGCACCCAUCUUCUACGUAACAUCUAUUUGUUUGUGGUCUAAACACCUUCUUGGUCUUAUUGGAUGUCUUUCACUUAGCAAUACGAUAUUUCUUGUUCAUCAACUAAAGCUUUGUGUUUUCCUAAAUUGUGCAUGGUAAAAUGGGAUUUCACUAACUUGUUAGCAUGCUUGACUUGAGCUGACAAAACAGGUUUCUUCUAAUUCAAAAGCAAAGCCGGUCCCGGUGCAGGAUGAUUCAACACAGAAAGUGCAACCUACACCCAAUAUCCCACCUCCAAAGGUUGAUUAUGCCACUGAUCUUUUCAAUAUGCUUUCUAUGGAUGGCCCAAGUCAAAAUGGUUGUUGAAAUCAUUGACCAGUAUGAGACAGUGCAUUCCAGAGAGCUCAAGAGGCAAUAAGCUUGCAUUUAUACAGGACCUAAAAAUGGACAAAACCUGCACCAGGACAGUAACAAUGGGGUGUUAAGAAGCCUCAAAUCAUGGAAAAUUCUGUCACGAUCUUGUCGAGUGCAAGUCUUGGGAUGGCCAUGUUCAGUCUCGGUAAGAUCAUUGAUAUGCUCAUCAUGUUCAGUCUCGGUAAGAUCAUUGAUAUG